This 418-nucleotide ribosomal RNA is filed under the name uncultured bacterium. RNAcentral's name for it is "bacterial SSU rRNA". It matches the Rfam family "Bacterial small subunit ribosomal RNA", at positions 356 to 772 of the family's 1533-position model. The record is from RNAcentral.
AGGGAAUAUUGGACAAUGGGUGAGAGCCUGAUCCAGCCAUGCCGCGUGCAGGAAGAAGGCCUUCUGGGUUGUAAACUGCUUUUGCCAGGGGAUAAAAUUCGCAUGCGUGAGAAAUUGAAGGUACCUGGUGCAUAAGCCACGGCUAACUACGUUCCAGCAGCCGCGGUAAUACGUAGGUGGCAAGCGUUGUCCGGAUUUAUUGGGUUUAAAGGGUGCGUAGGCGGUCCUAUAAGUCAGUUGUGAAAUACGGCAGCUUAACUGUCGAGGUGCAAUUGAUACUGCAGGACUUGAGUACAGACGAGGUAGGCGGAAUUGACGGUGUAGCGGUGAAAUGCUUAGAUAUCGUCAAGAACACCGAUAGCGAAGGCAGCUUACUAGACUGUAACUGACGCUGAUGCACGAAAGUGUGGGGAUCAAA